RNAcentral lists this ribosomal RNA (470 nucleotides) under uncultured bacterium. RNAcentral's name for it is "bacterial SSU rRNA". It matches the Rfam family "Bacterial small subunit ribosomal RNA", at positions 28 to 507 of the family's 1533-position model. The record is from RNAcentral.
GAUGAACGCUGGCGGCGUGCCUAAUACAUGCAAGUCGAACGAGGUGCUUUUGUAGUAAUACGAAAAGUGUCCUAGUGGCGAACGGGUGAGUAACGCGUUGGUGACCUACCCCAAAGUGUGGGAUAACAGUUCGAAAGGAUUGCUAAUACCGCAUGUGGUCUUCGGAUUUAGAAACUGAUGACUAAAGGAGUAAUCCGCUUUGGGAGGGACCUGCGUCCCAUCAGCUAGUUGGUGAGGUAAUGGCUCACCAAGGCUACGACGGGUAGGGGACCUGAGAGGGUGACCCCCCACAAUGGAACUGAAACACGGUCCAUACACCUACGGGUGGCAGCAGUAGGGAAUAUUGCACAAUGGGCGAAAGCCUGAUGCAGCAACGCCGCGUGUGCGAUGAAGGCCUUCGGGUCGUAAAGCACUUUUCUGGGAGAUGAGCAAGGACAGUAUCUCAGGAAUAAGUCUCGGCUAACUACGUG